Molecule: microRNA precursor, 97 nt
Filed under: Prunus dulcis (almond)
Lineage: Eukaryota; Viridiplantae; Streptophyta; Magnoliopsida; Rosales; Rosaceae
Description: sRNA ncRNA
Source: RNAcentral
AAUAGAAUAUUUUAAAGGUAUAGCCGUGCGGCUGUACUCUGUAAAUAGAAGAUUUUAUAAGUAUAGCCGCCCGGCUAUACCCUUAAAAUAGCAUAAU